CUCUGUAAAUUCAAUGCUUUAGACAUAAUAAAUCAACUUUCCUUUUACGAAUUGCGAAUAUGUACAAUUACACUUUGAGCUCAAGCAUCUUACGUACUAAAUAAUCGCACGUUGGAAAUGCUUGGCAGCAGACUAUCGUACUUGUUCACAUUCCAUAGUUUUUCAGUUGCCACCAUGGAUGGUUUGGAGUCUGCUGCAAUUUCCAUUCUGAAGCGGGCAGUGGACCUGGAUGCAAAACACCGAUGGACAGAGUCAAUGACAUGCUAUCAGGAGGGACUUCAGCUUCUAAUGGAAGUAAUCAAGGGGCUGCCGGAGAGUCCGCGGCGCCUGGCCUUCCGCACAAAGGCCACCGAGUACAUGGACCGGGCGGAGAAGCUGAAGGCGCUGAUCGAGUCUGAGAAGAAGCUGGGCAAGUACCACGAGCAGGUGCACAUCGAGGACAACUCAACUGGCCACAGCUACGAAAGCGUGCUCGGCCGCUUCCUGGACGGCCGCGUCAGGAGCGUCGAGGUGGAGGACCCCUACAUCCGCAGCGUGCACCAGUGCUACAACCUACUCCGGCUAUGCGAACUGUGCGUGAAGAAGUGCCCAAAUCUGCAGUUCAUCCGACUGUUGACCGGCAGUGACCCGGGCGACGAGCAUGCGCAGAAGGCGCGACUCACAGAGAUCUGCACAUCCAUGGCAGACUUUGGCGUCAAGUUGAUCGUCAACUACUCUGACACGCUUCACGACAGAGAGAUACGAGCUCCUGUGCCUCUGUGACUACGUCAGAGCUGAGACUCAAAAGGGACAAGCGUGGGGUAGUACAGCGUCCACCCCGAGUCACCUUUGACACCCAGGGGAUGCACAGAGAACCCAGACCGGAGUUGUGCCGCUGCUCGGGCGGAGCCCCUGCUCUCAGGGCAGCCGACUGAUGACUGCUAGGCGCGACAUACUCAAGGCUGGACAGUGGCUGGAUCAUCAAGAUAGGCAGAGGCCUCAGCUACUUCAAACCGCCCGCAGGAAAGUUCUG
Molecule: unclassified non-coding RNA, 1012 nt
Filed under: Pollicipes pollicipes
Lineage: Eukaryota; Metazoa; Arthropoda; Thecostraca; Pollicipedomorpha; Pollicipedidae
Description: mIT domain-containing protein 1-like, transcript variant X3
Source: RNAcentral